This 254-nucleotide ribosomal RNA is filed under the name uncultured bacterium. RNAcentral's name for it is "partial 16S ribosomal RNA". It matches the Rfam family "Archaeal small subunit ribosomal RNA", at positions 474 to 727 of the family's 1478-position model. The record is from RNAcentral.
UAGCAGGACCCCAAGUGGUAGUCGUUAUUAUUGGGCUUAAAGUGUUCGUAGCCUGCCAUGUAAGUCCGCUGUGAAAUCCACAUGCUCAACAUGUGGGCGUGCAGCGGAUACUGCAUGGCUAGGGACCGGACGGCGUCGAGGCUAUUCCAAGGGUAGGAGUGAAAUCCUAAAAUCCUUGGAGGAGCACCUGUGGCGAAAGCGCUCGGCGAGUACGGAUCCGACGGUGAGGAACGAAAGCCAGGGGAGCAAAGCGG